Molecule: ribosomal RNA, 599 nt
Filed under: uncultured bacterium
Lineage: Bacteria
Description: bacterial SSU rRNA
Rfam family: Bacterial small subunit ribosomal RNA
Source: RNAcentral
CCUACGGGAGGCAGCAGUGGGGAAUCUUGCACAAUGGAGGAAACUCUGAUGCAGCGAUGCCGCGUGAGUGAAGAAGGCCUUUGGGUUGUAAAGCUCUUUUGUAGGGGAAGAUAAUGACUGUACCCUAAGAAUAAGGUCCGGCUAACUUCGUGCCAGCAGCCGCGGUAAUACGAAGGGACCUAGCGUAGUUCGGAAUUACUGGGCGUAAAGCGCGCGUAGGCCGUUGAGUUAGUUAAUUGUGAAAUCCCAAAGCUUAACUUUGGAACUGCAAUUAAAACUGCUCGACUAGAGUUUGAUAGAGGAAAGCGGAAUACAUAGUGUAGAGGUGAAAUUCGUAGAUAUUAUGUAGAACACCAGUUGCGAAGGCGGCUUUCUGGAUCAACACUGACGCUGAGGCGCGAAAGUAUGGGUAGCAAAGAGGAUUAGAUACCCUGUAGUCCAUACCAUAAACGAUGAUUGCUAGAUGUUGGAAACUUUAUUUUACAGUAUCGCAGCUAACGCAUUAAGCAAUCCGCCUGGGGAUACGACCGCAAGGUUAAAACCUCAAAAGUGUAAUUAGGACCGGUGAGAGUACGUCGACCGACGCACGACGGAGGUAG